RNAcentral lists this ribosomal RNA (253 nucleotides) under uncultured bacterium. RNAcentral's name for it is "partial 16S ribosomal RNA". It matches the Rfam family "Bacterial small subunit ribosomal RNA", at positions 524 to 776 of the family's 1533-position model. The record is from RNAcentral.
UACGUAGGGGGCGAGCGUUGUCCGGAUUUAUUGGGCGUAAAGAGCGUGUAGGCGGCUAGGUAGGUCUGCUGUGAAAACUUGAGGCUCAACCUCGAGACGUCGGCGGAAACCAUCUGGCUAGAGUCCGGAAGAGGAGAGUGGAAUUCCUGGUGUAGCGGUGAAAUGCGCAGAUAUCAGGAAGAACACCCGUGGCGAAGGCGGCUCUCUGGGACGGUACUGACGCUGAGACGCGAAAGCGUGGGGAGCGAACAGG